Molecule: ribosomal RNA, 460 nt
Filed under: uncultured bacterium
Lineage: Bacteria
Description: partial 16S ribosomal RNA
Rfam family: Bacterial small subunit ribosomal RNA
Source: RNAcentral
CCUACGGGUGGCAGCAGUGAGGAAUAUUGGUCAAUGGACGAGAGGCUGAACCAGCCAAGUAGCGUGAAGGAUGACUGCCCUAUGGGUUGUAAACUUCUUUUAUAUGGGAAUAAAAUGUUCCACGUGUGGGAUUUUGUAUGUACCAUAUGAAUAAGGAUCGGCUAACUCCGUGCCAGCAGCCGCGGUAAUACGGAGGAUCCGAGCGUUAUCCGGAUUUAUUGGGUUUAAAGGGAGCGUAGGGGGAUUGUUAAGUCCGUGGUGAAAGUUUGCGGGUCAAACUCAAAACUGCAGUUGAAACUGGCAGUCUUGAGUACAGGAGAGGUGGGCGGAAUUCGUGGUGUAGCGGUGAAAUGCUUAGAUAUCACGCAGAACUCCGAUUGCGAAGGCAGCUCACUGGAGUGCAACUGACACUGAGGCUCGAAAGUGUGGGUAUCGAACAGGAUUAGAUACCCGAGUAGUC